Solanum pennellii is the source of this 3351-nucleotide RNA transcript. It is a transcript of the gene named auxin response factor 8-like, with no coding region annotated. The record is from RefSeq and is a predicted model, not a curated record. The transcript has 14 exons. NCBI's taxonomy places the organism in Eukaryota, Viridiplantae, Streptophyta, Magnoliopsida, Solanales, Solanaceae.
GAGAAAAUGAGGGCAUUACUAUUACCUCUCUUUUCUCUCUCUACUGUUAUCAGGUCGACCUUGGUCGGGUGGGGUAUAAAGAGACUAACAGCACACCCUUUCUCUCUCUCUCUUCAAAACUGAUAGUGAUAUCAGAAAAAAGCUGAAGUUGAGCUCAGCUUAGAUUCUAUCAACUUAAUGAAUUGAAGAAAUUACAAUUUAAUGGAAGUAUUGGAGAAAGAGUAGCUAGCUGAAAGGACUUUUUGGUUAAUGCAUGUGGGGAGAUCAUAUUCAUAAUGGGGAAAAGGUGGGGUAUCUUGAAGAUAGGGUUUCAGUUGAUUUUUGGAGUUGGAAUUGAGGGUUUUGUGCAAUUCAGUGGAUUUUUACAGAAAAGGGUGUAGAGUGUAGUACUAUAAUUUUAUCAAGAGGAAGUGGGUUUUUAAAUAAAUAAAUUUUAUAUAAUUAUGAAGCUUUCAACAUCAGGAAUGGGUCAGCAGGCUCAUGAAGGAGGAGAGAAAAAGUGUUUGAACUCAGAGCUAUGGCAUGCUUGUGCUGGUCCUCUGGUGUGCCUACCAACUGUCGGAAGUCGAGUUGUUUACUUUCCUCAGGGUCAUAGUGAACAGGUAGCUGCAACAACUAAUAAAGAAGUUGAUGCACAUAUACCCAAUUACCCAAAUUUGUCGCCGCAGUUGAUCUGUCAACUCCACAAUGUCACAAUGCAUGCAGAUGUUGAAACAGACGAAGUAUACGCACAAAUGACUUUGCAGCCCUUGACACCGGAAGAACAAAAAGAUACAUAUCUUCCUGUUGAGUUUGGAAUCCCUAGCAAGCAGCCUACUAACUAUUUUUGUAAGACGCUGACUGCAAGUGAUACUAGCACGCAUGGUGGCUUUUCUGUCCCUCGACGUGCCGCAGAGAAAGUUUUUCCUCCUCUGGAUUUCUCGCAGACACCACCUGCCCAAGAACUAAUUGCAAGGGAUCUGCAUGAUGUUGAAUGGAAGUUCAGGCAUAUUUUCCGAGGACAGCCUAAGCGGCAUCUUCUUACCACUGGCUGGAGUGUGUUUGUUAGCGCCAAAAGGCUUGUUGCUGGGGAUUCUGUUCUUUUCAUUUGGAAUGAGAAAAAUCAGCUCCUUCUAGGAAUUCGGCGUGCAGUUCGACCACAGACUGUGAUGCCAUCAUCAGUUCUAUCUAGUGAUAGCAUGCACAUUGGAUUACUUGCUGCUGCUGCUCAUGCUGCUGCUACUAAUAGCUGUUUCAAUGUCUUUUUUAACCCAAGGGCUAGCCCAUCCGAAUUUGUUAUACCUCUUUCAAAAUACAUCAAAGCUGUAUAUCACACUCGCGUUUCUGUUGGAAUGCGCUUUCGGAUGCUAUUUGAAACUGAAGAAUCAAGUGUUCGAAGAUACAUGGGCACAAUUACUGGGAUUGGUGACUUAGAUCCAGUUCGCUGGGCAAACUCUCACUGGCGGUCUGUCAAGGUUGGUUGGGAUGAGUCAACUGCAGGAGAGAGGCAACCAAGGGUCUCAUUAUGGGAGAUUGAGCCUUUGACUACUUUUCCGAUGUAUCCAUCUCUUUUUCCUCUAAGGCUAAAGAGGCCUUUCUAUCCAGGAACCUCAUCUUAUCAGGAUAGUAACAAUGAAGCUAUUAAUCGAAUGGCAUGGUUAAGAGGGAAUGCUGGUGAGCUAGGACAUCAUUCAAUGAAUCUUCAGUCUUUUGGCAUGCUUCCUUGGAUGCAACAGAGAGUCGAUUCAACAAUUCUCCCAAAUGAUAUUAAUCAGCACUAUCAAGCUAUGCUGGCUACUGGCUUGCAAAGUUUUGGGAGUGGAGAUUUGCUGAAACAGCAAUUAAUGCAGUUUCAGCAGCCUGUCCAAUAUCUGCAACAUGCAAGUACUGAGAAUUCCAUUUUGCAUCAGCAGCAGCAGCAGCAGCAGCAAAUAAUGCAGCAAGCAGUUCAUCAGCAUAUGCUGCCUGCUCAAACCCAAAUGCUGUCAGAGAACCUUCAAAGGCAAUCCCAGCAUCAAUCCAAUAAUCAGUCAGAGGAACAGGCUCACCAACACACUUACCAAGAAGCAUUCCAACUCCCGCACGACCAGCUCCAGCAGAGGCAACCAUCAAAUGUUACCACUCCAUUUUUGAAAGCAGAUUUUGCAGAUUUGACCUCUAAGUUCUCAGCAUCUGUUGCCCCUUCAGGCGUGCAAAAUAUGCUUGGUUCGUUGUGUUCUGAAGGUAGUAGUAAUUCAUUGAAUAUCAACAGAACUGGUCAGUCUGUGAUCAUAGAGCAGUCGCCUCAACAGUCCUGGAUGUCAAAAUUUACAGAGUCACAACUAAAUACGUGCUCCAACUCAUCACCACUUCCAACUUACGGGAAAGAUACUUCCAAUCCUAGGGGAAAUUGUAGCUUGGAUUCCCAGAAUCAAGCGCUUUUUGGUGCUAAUGUUGAUUCUUCAGGGCAUCUCCUUCCGACCACAGUGUCUAAUGUUACUACUACAUGUGCUGAUAUGUCCUUAAUGCCACUUGGGGCUUCUGGAUAUCAGAAUUCUCUAUAUGGUUAUGUGCAAGACUCUUCUGAGUUGUUGCACAAUGCAGGACAAAUUGAUCCACCAAAUGCAACCCAUACAUUUGUCAAGUUUUUUGUCUAUGCAGGUUUACAAAUCGGGAUGUGUUGGGAGGUCACUGGAUAUCACUCAGUUCCACAGCUAUCAUGAGCUGCGACGGGAAUUGGGGCAGAUGUUCGGUAUUGAGGGAUUCCUUGAAGACCCUCAAAGAUCAGGCUGGCAGCUUGUAUUUGUUGACAGGGAGAAUGAUAUCCUUCUCCUUGGAGACGAUCCAUGGGAGGCGUUUGUCAAUAACGUCUGGUAUAUAAAAAUCCUUUCACCCGAAGAUGUGCAGAAGCUGGGAAAGGAAGAGGCUGAAUCCCUGAAUCGUGGAGCGGUUGAAAGGAUGAGCAGCACUAAUGCUGAUGAUCGAGAUCUUAUUUCUGGAAUGCCAUCUCUUGGAUCGCUGGAGUACUGAUUGUUGUAAUGCUUUAAAAGAAGAGGACUGAUUCUGAUUCUCAAUCUUCUCAAGGGUCAGAAAUUCAAAUUUCAUGCCUCAUAACCUGGCUUCUUUAGCUUUCGUCUAAUUGGUCCAUCUCCCAAUUGUAUGUUGUAUUUUGCGUUUGGAUCUAGCUGUAAUAGGACUUAAGGGGUCUCCCAUUUGUAUGGUGUAGCUUUCAUUGUAAUCCUGUUGUACAAGUUAGUAUAAUUUACUGUACGGCUCAAGAUGAGACGUAAUUUAAACUAAGAAUCUGGAAAGUGUCAAAACUUGUUAUUGCACUUCUACCUUUCAGACAAAGAAGCAGUUGAGGAUCUAUAUCUGGUCUUUCUUGUAGGUAAA